AUUGAACGCUGGCGGCAUGCUUUACACAUGCAAGUCGGACGGCAGCACAGAGACGCUUGCUUCUUGGGUGGCGAGUGGCGAACGGGUGAGUAACAUAUCGGAACGUACCGAGCAGUGGGGGAUAACUAAUCGAAAGAUUAGCUAAUACCGCAUAUCUUCUGAGGAAGAAAGCAGGGGACCAUUUGGCCUUGCGCUGUUUGAGCGGCCGAUAUCUGAUUAGCUAGUUGGUGGGGUAAAGGCCUACCAAGGCGACGAUCAGUGGCGGGUCUGAGAGGAUGAUCCGCCACACUGGGACUGAGACACGGCCCAGACUCCUACGGGAGGCAGCAGUGGGGAAUUUUGGACAAAGGGCGCAAGCCUGAUCCAGCCAUGCCGCGUGUCUGAAGAAGGCCUUCGGGUUGUAAAGGACUUUUGUCAGGGAAGAAAAGGGCGGGGUUAAUACCCCUGUCUGAUGACGGUACCUGAAGAAUAAGCACCGGCUAACUACGUG
Molecule: ribosomal RNA, 490 nt
Filed under: uncultured bacterium
Lineage: Bacteria
Description: partial 16S ribosomal RNA
Rfam family: Bacterial small subunit ribosomal RNA
Source: RNAcentral